This 80-nucleotide microRNA precursor is filed under the name Ovis aries (sheep). RNAcentral's name for it is "miRNA (ENSOARG00000022307.1)". The record is from RNAcentral. Lineage: Eukaryota; Metazoa; Chordata; Mammalia; Artiodactyla; Bovidae.
AGUGGGUUGGCCAAAACAUUCAUUCAGGUGUUUCCAUAACGUCUUAUAGACAAACCUGAGUGAACUUUUGGGCAACCCAG